This 229-nucleotide ribosomal RNA is filed under the name uncultured bacterium. Its description in RNAcentral is "partial 16S ribosomal RNA". It matches the Rfam family "Bacterial small subunit ribosomal RNA", at positions 568 to 796 of the family's 1533-position model. The record is from RNAcentral.
CGCGUAGGCGGUCUUGUCGGUCAGAUGUGAAAGCCCGGGGCUCAACCCCGGACGUGCAUUUGAAGCAGCAAGACUUGAGUACGGGAGAGGAAAGCGGAAUUCCUGGUGUAGAGGUGAAAUUCGUAGAUAUCAGGAGGAACACCGAUGGCGAAGGCAGCUUUCUGGACCGAUACUGACGCUGAUGCGCGAAGGCGUGGGUAGCGAACAGGAUUAGAUACCCUGGUAGUCC